Molecule: ribosomal RNA, 374 nt
Filed under: uncultured organism
Description: partial 16S ribosomal RNA
Rfam family: Bacterial small subunit ribosomal RNA
Source: RNAcentral
GUAGGUGGCAAGCGUUGUCCGGAAUUAUUGGGCGUAAAGCGCGCGCAGGUGGCUCUUUAAGUCUGAUGUGAAAGCCCCCGGCUCAACCGGGGAGGGUCAUUGGAAACUGGGGAACUUGAGUGCAGGAGAGGAAAGUGGAAUUCCACGUGUAGCGGUGAAAUGCGUAGAUAUGUGGAGGAACACCAGUGGCGAAGGCGACUUUCUGGCCUGUAACUGACACUGAGGCGCGAAAGCGUGGGGAGCAAACAGGGAUUAGAUACCCUGGUAGUCCACGCCGUAAACGAUGAGUGCUAAGUGUUGGGGGGGUUUCCCGCCCCUCAGUGCUGCAGCUAACGCAUUAAGCACUCCGCCUGGGGAGUACGGUCGCAAGACUG